GACGAACGCUGGCGGCGUGCUUAACACAUGCCAGUCGAACGGAAAGGCCCUGCUUUUGUGGGGUGCUCGAGUGGCGAACGGGUGAGUAACACGUGAGUAACCUGCCCUUGACUUUGGGAUAACUUCAGGAAACUGGGGCUAAUACCGGAUAGGAGCUCCUGCUGCAUGGUGGGGGUUGGAAAGUUUCGGCGGUUGGGGAUGGACUCGCGGCUUAUCAGCUUGUUGGUGGGGUAGUGGCUUACCAAGGCUUUGACGGGUAGCCGGCCUGAGAGGGUGACCGGCCACAAUGGGACUGAGAUACGGACCAGACGCCUACGGGAGGCAGCGGUGGGGAAUAUUGCACAAUGGGCGGAAGCCUGAUGCAGCAACGCCGCGUGCGGGAUGACGGCCUUCGGGUUGUAAACCGCUUUCGCCUGUGACGAAGCGUGAGUGACGGUAAUGGGUAAAGAAGCACCGGCUAACUACGUG
Molecule: ribosomal RNA, 468 nt
Filed under: uncultured bacterium
Lineage: Bacteria
Description: partial 16S ribosomal RNA
Rfam family: Bacterial small subunit ribosomal RNA
Source: RNAcentral